Molecule: ribosomal RNA, 614 nt
Filed under: Enterobacter hormaechei
Lineage: Bacteria; Pseudomonadati; Pseudomonadota; Gammaproteobacteria; Enterobacterales; Enterobacteriaceae
Description: partial 23S ribosomal RNA
Rfam family: Bacterial large subunit ribosomal RNA
Source: RNAcentral
GAAUGCUGACAUAAGUAACGAUAAAGCGGGUGAAAAGCCCGCUCGCCGGAAGACCAAGGGUUCCUGUCCAACGUUAAUCGGGGCAGGGUGAGUCGACCCCUAAGGCGAGGCCGAAAGGCGUAGUCGAUGGGAAACAGGUUAAUAUUCCUGUACUUGGUGUUACUGCGAAGGGGGGACGGAGAAGGCUAUGUCAGCCGGGCGACGGUUGUCCCGGUUUAAGCAUGUAGGCGGAGGUUCCAGGUAAAUCCGGUACCUUUUAACGCUGAGGUGUGAUGACGAGGCACUACGGUGCUGAAGUGAUAAAUGCCCUGCUUCCAGGAAAAGCCUCUAAGCAUCAGGUAACACGAAAUCGUACCCCAAACCGACACAGGUGGUCAGGUAGAGAAUACCAAGGCGCUUGAGAGAACUCGGGUGAAGGAACUAGGCAAAAUGGUGCCGUAACUUCGGGAGAAGGCACGCUGAUAGGUAGGUGAAGCCCCUGCGGGCGGAGCUGAAAUCAGUCGAAGAUACCAGCUGGCUGCAACUGUUUAUUAAAAACACAGCACUGUGCAAACACGAAAGUGGACGUAUACGGUGUGACGCCUGCCCGGUGCCGGAAGGUUAAUUGAUGGGGU